GACGAACGCUGGCGGCGUGCUUAACACAUGCAAGUCGAACGGAAAGGCCCUGCUUUUGUUGUGUGCUCGAUUGGCGAACGGGUGAGUAACACGUGAGUAACCUGCCCCUGACUUUGUGAUAACUUCAGGAAACUGGGGCUAAUAUCGGAUAGGAGCUCCUGCUGCAUGGUGGUGGUUGGAAAGUUUCGGCGGUUGGGGAUGGACUCGCGGCUUAUCAGCUUGUUGGUGGGGUAGUGGCUUACCAAGGGUUUGACGGGUAGCCGGCCUGAGAGGGUGACCGGCCACCUUGGGACUGAGAUACGGCCCAGAAUCGUACGGGAGGCAGCAGUCGAGAGUAUUGCACAAUGGGCGGAAGCCUGAUGCAGCAGCGCCGCGUGCGGGAUGACGGCCUUCGGGUUGUAAACCGCUUUCGCAUGUAACGAAGCGUGAGUGACGGUAAUGGGUAAAGAAGCACCGGCUAACUACGUG
Molecule: ribosomal RNA, 468 nt
Filed under: uncultured bacterium
Lineage: Bacteria
Description: partial 16S ribosomal RNA
Rfam family: Bacterial small subunit ribosomal RNA
Source: RNAcentral